Molecule: long non-coding RNA, 932 nt
Organism: Haplochromis burtoni (Burton's mouthbrooder)
Lineage: Eukaryota; Metazoa; Chordata; Actinopteri; Cichliformes; Cichlidae
Exons: 4
Source: RefSeq, a predicted model, not a curated record
AGACACCACCACACCUCCACCUACAUCCAUCACUCUUCCUCCUGUUCUCUCUGUGCUGUUGCCCAUUGGGUCAGUGUAUGUUGUGGUUCCACUGGUGUUACUGGUUCUGCUGGUGAGACGAUGUGUUCACAGGAAACUUGAAGCAGAUGGAGAAGAUGACAUCACCAGUAGCAUCACAUGCAGUGUUGUGAAAUCAUCCAAUCAUCAACAACCUCCAGUCAAAGAAACCAGAGAGGAAGAGACUGAUUCAGCUGUGAUCUACUCAGCAGUGAGAACUGAAGACGUCCGUUAUGGACAAACAACCAUCAGAACAAGGAGGCCCAGACUUUAAACCAGAGCCAGACGUCGUCUACUCUUCACUGAAGUAGUCCACCAGUCCAACCACUGAAGUCCAGCUGCUGGUCUCUAACUGGUCCCUCCAACACCUCGUCUUUUGUUCCUACAGCCGUUUCUCUGCAGGAUUAAUAAACUUUUGCUCUCAGAUGUUUUCCUCCUGUGGUUCUGUGGGUUUCACAAAGACGACUGAUGGAGAAUUUGAGUUCUGGUUUGGUUGUGGUGAACUGUCAGACAUGUGCCUUCAUAGCAGAAACAAACAUUAAACCACAACCACAGACUAUAAACAGCACAAGCAUCAUUCAGUGUGUGUGUGUGUGUGUGUGUGUAUGAGACAGAGAGAUGCCACAGGCAAAUACUAAUAUUAAUUUUGUUUGCAAACAAACAAGAAUCUUCAGGGUGUACGUCAGAUGUCUUAAACGAGGAAAACUUUAAUGCUUUACAUUAAGGAGGAGGAGAAAUUGAUGUUUUCUGAAAAAUAUGAAGUGAAAUAUUUCUCUUGUCAGCGAUGAAGUAGGUGGUGGUCGGCCCUUAGUCCACGGCUGGGCGCAACCUGAAAAAGUUACAUGAGCCCUCCACCCACAGUAGGUGCCGUAGGG